UACAGAGGGGGCAAGCGUUGUUCGGAAUUACUGGGCGUAAAGGGCGCGUAGGCGGCCUGCUAAGUCGAACGUGAAAUCCCCGGGCUCAACCCGGGAACUGCGUCCGAUACUGACAGGCUCGAAUCCGGGAGAGGGAUGUGGAAUUCCAGGUGUAGCGGUGAAAUGCGCAGAUAUCUGGAGGAACACCGGUGGCGAAGGCGGCAUCCUGGACCGGUAUUGACGCUGAGGCGCGAAAGCCAGGGGAGCAAACGGG
Molecule: ribosomal RNA, 253 nt
Filed under: uncultured bacterium
Lineage: Bacteria
Description: partial 16S ribosomal RNA
Rfam family: Bacterial small subunit ribosomal RNA
Source: RNAcentral